Molecule: RNA transcript, 1626 nt
Organism: Drosophila santomea
Lineage: Eukaryota; Metazoa; Arthropoda; Insecta; Diptera; Drosophilidae
Exons: 3
Source: RefSeq, a predicted model, not a curated record
CGUUAUCAAUCCACAUAUAUAUGCUUUUAAUAGCAAAACGUCAGAUACAAUUAAAUUGAAAAAUCAAAUUCAAACCAUAUAAUAAAAAAAACAGAAAUGCCAAAAAAAGUGAUCACAAGGCGUCAACGCAAAGCUGCAGAGUUCAGACUAAAGGCCAACGAAGAAGCAAAUGAGAAUAAUGCGCCCAGGAUCAAAGGAGACACGCCGAUUUCCUUAAUCCCACGUUCGACUAAUUUACCUAACGUAAAAGUAGCAUACCCAAAGAAAGAAGAUAAAUGUAUCUCCUUGACGACUUUAGAUGUAAAGGAUGAGAAGCCCAAAACUCCAUCUUCAGAACAACCGUUUGGCGAAUCUAAAGAGGGCAUUAAGCGCUGUGAUGCUCUGCAAAAAAUUCGGUUAACUAGUCACAAGAAAACUUUUUUGUCGGAGGUAAAAAAGAAGGCUUUGAAUUCGGAACAAUUCGAAAAUACAAGUUCAUCCGAAUUUACUACACUGCUUCCAAGGAUAAACAAUAAAGCGACCCCUAAAACUCAAAACUCUAGAGUGCCGUUGAUGUCCAAAAUUUGCGAACAAAUUAAGACGCAUUUGCACUCUGUUUUGCCAUCACGAAACCUCGGUCCAAAACCCCGAAUCCCGGCGGAAAAAGUAGCAGAGCACAGUCCAGAUUUGCAGUUUACACGAAAAGUUUUUAAUAGCUCGGAGGAUAUAUUUAAAACUGGUGGAGACUACGACCACAAAGUAGCAUGCUUCAAGUCAGCUGAGCUUCCCAAAGAUCCAGGACCGCCUAUGAAGGUUUUCGGAAACGCCGGUUUCAUCGUCCUUACUGGCACCAAUGCUCAGUUGGCUUUACAGCUCGGCGAACUUGCGACCAGAGGCGUUGGUGUACAAUCAUGUAUACGUCUGCCAAACGAAAUGAUGGACAAGGUGGAGCAACAGCUCGGUAAACUGGAAAAGGAGCGCGAAAAAAUCCUCAAUAAAAUGCAUAACAAACAUGCAACACUUGCACAAGGACUAGCUCAGCGAGAGAAAAAACAAAGCAAUACUAUAAAAAUGUUCGGAGAAGAAAAAAAACUUAAAAACCACUUUAAUGGGUGCAUGCCUAGACUGACAAAUUAUCAACACGCCCUGUUAGUAUAGUAUACCCUUUACUGUGCGAGGUACGGGAUUGAAAUAUGAAAUUUUUGCGCCUUGCUGAAUACUUGAUUUAGAGAAAUCUUCAGGAAUUGACCUGAACUUAAAACACAAUAGUUUCAGGCAAAGACUUCGAGAGCCAACAAUAACAAACAUUCUCACACACCGAUGACGAUGGAAAUAAAGCAGUAGCAGCACAUGUUUGCCCCAACCACGUGUAUGUGUAUGUGAGCCCGCGUUGGCGAGUGUGCGUGCAAAUGCCGCCACGCCAUGUGCUUUUGAUUUUGUUUCUGGGCGAACAGCAAUCGAAUUGAAUACUAAACGCAGCUCAGCGGAUUCGCUAUCCAAUUAGCAAUGAGCAAACUGUGGAACGCGCCGAGUAAUGCUACCUUCUUAACUUCCUCCGUGGUUCCGGAUCUUAUUCUCAUAAAGGGCUUUUCUAGCCAAACGCUUGAUCCUAUUGUUGCCGCCGUCUGUUUGUCCGCCUGCUUUAAC